RNAcentral lists this ribosomal RNA (467 nucleotides) under uncultured bacterium. RNAcentral describes it as "partial 16S ribosomal RNA". It matches the Rfam family "Bacterial small subunit ribosomal RNA", at positions 28 to 506 of the family's 1533-position model. The record is from RNAcentral.
GACGAACGCUGGCGGCGUGCUUAACACAUGCAAGUCGAACGGAAAGGCCCUGCUUUUGUGGGGUGCUCGAGUGGCGAACGGGUGAGUAACACGUGAGUAACCUGCCCUUGACUUUGGGAUAACUUCAGGAAACUGGGGCUAAUACCGGAUAGGAGCUCCUGCUGCAUGGUGGGGGUUGGAAAGUUUCGGCGGUUGGGGAUGGACUCGCGGCUUAUCAGCUUGUUGGUGGGGUAGUGGCUUACCAAGGCUUUGACGGGUAGCCGGCCUGAGAGGGUGACCGGCCACAUGGGGACUGAGAUACGGCCCAGACCCCUACGGGGGGCAGGAGUGGGGAAUAUUGCACAAGGGGCGGAAGCCUGAUGCAGCAACGCCGGGGGGGGGAUGGCGGCCUUCGGGUGGUAACCAGCUUUCGCCUGUGACGAAGGGGGAGGGACGGUAAUUGGUAAAGAAGCACCGGCUAACUACGU